GAAAUAAUAGCUUUCCUAAUAUUUUUCUAAACAGAGCGUAAGGACUAUCUUCGGGUAAGCUCUAAGGGGUGCCUAACACCUUCCCCUCGAGUAAUCAAAACCCUUACUCAGAAUCUCAAAAUAUUUCGAUAGACUAAAACAGAGUUUUACAAUAAAAAAUGAUUUUUCCUAAUUUUUCUAAAAAGUUAGGUGGCGACUCUAAAACAUAAAAAUACUUUUUCAAAUCCCAUGAGUCACUAGACGCCACCACAUGCCAUUGUGCUGUUUUGAUCGGUUCGAAAUAUGGGCACGACAGCUGCGAGAUGAACAACGAGCGCUCAUUGUGAAGGUUGUCCCCAUCGGUGACCAGAGAGACUAAAAAAGAAUAUAAUAGUUACAGUUCUCUUAAGUUUAUCUAUCCAACUGGUACGGAGGCUACGCUUCAUGACUAAAAUAAGGAAAGAACCAAUCACUUGAUAUCAGAUCUCAUUCAAUGUGCUGUCACGUAGCACGAAUUUCAUCGAUCAAGAUUUAUUUUCAGUGGACACUUUUGCAUCUCAGAUAAAUGGUAACAGUUUUUCAGUUUCAUUACUUGACUGGGGAACCUUUAUUGUUCAUCGUCAUCAGUCCAUCAAUUAGUUUCUAAAUUUGGACACAUGAGAAGAAAGAAGAAACUACUUGGUCCCCUUUUCCAUGUCAGCAUGCUUGAAAAUCACUAGCUUCACUUUCUCGUUUGGUACGUGGAAUAAGGGAUGAUUAGUAAUGAGAUUAAUUUGUUUAUUCUAUGUUUGGUGAGAUAAAAUCGCCGGACAACAUCUCUCGAUAUUUGUCCACCACUGAGGAAGGAAUUGUUGGGUAAAUCAAGAAUAACAAUAAAAGUAUUUGUGGUAAAAUAAUAGGUCGCUUCGACCCAUGAAUCUUUCUAUCCAUUAAUCUUUAUCUUAACCAAAAGGAAUU
RNAcentral lists this long non-coding RNA (936 nucleotides) under Capsicum annuum. RNAcentral's name for it is "long non-coding RNA (CANN_LNC002400)". Lineage: Eukaryota; Viridiplantae; Streptophyta; Magnoliopsida; Solanales; Solanaceae. The record is from RNAcentral.